RNAcentral lists this ribosomal RNA (371 nucleotides) under uncultured organism. RNAcentral describes it as "partial 16S ribosomal RNA". It matches the Rfam family "Bacterial small subunit ribosomal RNA", at positions 527 to 896 of the family's 1533-position model. The record is from RNAcentral.
GUAGGUGGCAAGCGUUGGUCCGGAAUUAUUGGGCGUAAAGCGCGCGCAGGCGGUUCUUUAAGUCUGAUGUGAAAGCCCACGCUCAACCGUGGAGGGUCAUUGGAAACUGGAGAACUUGAGUACAGAAGAGGAAAGCGGAAUUCCACGUGUAGCGGUGAAAUGCGUAGAGAUGUGGAGGAACACCAGUGGCGAAGGCGGCUUUCUGGUCUGUAACUGACGCUGAGGCGCGAAAGCGUGGGGGAGCAAACAGGAUUAGAUACCCUGGUAGUCCACGCCGUAAACGAUGAGUGCUAAGUGUUAGGGGGUUUCCGCCCCUUAGUGCUGCAGCUAACGCAUUAAGCACUCCGCCUGGGAGUACGGCCGCAAGGCUG